Small nuclear RNA from Nannospalax galili (Upper Galilee mountains blind mole rat), 104 nucleotides. The record is from Ensembl. Lineage: Eukaryota; Metazoa; Chordata; Mammalia; Rodentia; Spalacidae.
GUGCUCACCUCAGCAGCACAUGCUAAAAUUGGAAUGACACGGAGAAGAUCAUAUGGUCCCCGAGAAAGGAUGACACGCAAAUAUACAAAGUGGGUCUUGCUUUC